This 348-nucleotide unclassified non-coding RNA is filed under the name soil metagenome. Its description in RNAcentral is "partial contains 5.8S ribosomal RNA, internal transcribed spacer 2, and large subunit ribosomal RNA". The stretch from base 1 to 120 matches the Rfam family "5.8S ribosomal RNA", at positions 35 to 154 of the family's 154-position model. The record is from RNAcentral.
GAUGAAGAACGUAGUGAAAUGCGAUAAGUAGUGUGAAUUGCAGAAUUCAGUGAAUCAUCGAAUCUUUGAACGCACAUUGCGCCCCUUGGUAUUCCGGGGGGCAUGCCUGUCCGAGCGUCAUUGCUGCCCUCAAGCACGGCUUGUGUGUUGGGCCCCGCCCCCCGGCUCCCGGGGGGCGGGCCCGAAAGGCAGCGGCGGCACCGCGUCCGGUCCUCGAGCGUAUGGGGCUUCGUCACCCGCUCCGUAGGCCCGGCCGGCGCCCGCCGGCGACCCCCCUCAAUCUUUUCAGGUUGACCUCGGAUCAGGUAGGGAUACCCGCUGAACUUAAGCAUAUCAAUAAGCGGAGGA